CCUACGGGAGGCAGCAGUGGGGAAUCUUGCGCAAUGGGCGAAAGCCUGACGCAGCCAUGCCGCGUGAAUGAUGAAGGUCUUAGGAUUGUAAAAUUCUUUCACCGGGGACGAUAAUGACGGUACCCGGAGAAGAAGCCCCGGCUAACUUCGUGCCAGCAGCCGCGGUAAUACGAAGGGGGCUAGCGUUGCUCGGAAUUACUGGGCGUAAAGGGAGCGUAGGCGGAUAGUUUAGUCAGAGGUGAAAGCCCAGGGCUCAACCUUGGAAUUGCCUUUGAUACUGGCUAUCUUGAGUGUGGGAGAGGUAUGUGGAACUCCGAGUGUAGAGGUGAAAUUCGUAGAUAUUCGGAAGAACACCAGUGGCGAAGGCGACAUACUGGCCCAUUACUGACGCUGAGGCUCGAAAGCGUGGGGAGCAAACAGGAUUAGAUACCCUGGUAGUCCACGCUGUAAACGAUGAGUGCUAGUUGUCGGCAGGCAUGCCUGUCGGUGACGCAGCUACGCAUAGCACUCCGCCGUGGGAGGUACGGUCGCGAGAAUAAACUACGAAAGAAGUAGACGGCGNGAGACGUGACCGAACGGACGACGACGAGGGAGGUAGG
This 599-nucleotide ribosomal RNA is filed under the name uncultured bacterium. RNAcentral's name for it is "bacterial SSU rRNA". The stretch from base 1 to 514 matches the Rfam family "Bacterial small subunit ribosomal RNA", at positions 338 to 873 of the family's 1533-position model. The record is from RNAcentral.